GUGAAUCAUCGAAUCUUUGAACGCACAUUGCGCCCCUCGGUAUUCCGGGGGGCAUGCCUGUUCGAGCGUCAUUACACCACUCAAGCCUGGCUUGGUAUUGGGCGCCGCGGUCCGCCGCGCGCCCUAAUGUCUUCGGCUGAUCGAUCUCCCCUCCAGCGUCGUGGUAACAUCCGCUCGGGGUUGGGACCGGUCAACGCCGCGAAACACUUUUUCAUUCAGGUUGACCUCGGAUCAGGUAGGGAUACCCGCUGAACUUAAGCAUAUCAAUAAGCGGAGGA
RNAcentral lists this unclassified non-coding RNA (278 nucleotides) under Penidiella sp. Its description in RNAcentral is "partial contains 5.8S ribosomal RNA, internal transcribed spacer 2, and large subunit ribosomal RNA". The stretch from base 1 to 71 matches the Rfam family "5.8S ribosomal RNA", at positions 84 to 154 of the family's 154-position model. The record is from RNAcentral. Lineage: Eukaryota; Fungi; Ascomycota; Dothideomycetes; Mycosphaerellales; Teratosphaeriaceae.